This is a non-coding RNA of Cinara cedri, 321 nucleotides long. Lineage: Eukaryota; Metazoa; Arthropoda; Insecta; Hemiptera; Aphididae. The record is from the annotation of a GenBank genome assembly.
UCUAGAACGACAUGAUUAUUCAUACUCAAUCAACGCUAAUCCCUUGUUACGAACGGAUAAUGUGAUUUUAGACUUAGGUAUCGCGUUUACCCACAAGUUCAAGUUUUAUUCUUGUUUAGAUCAAUAUAUACUGUAAAACACUAAAAUUUUCAGUUUUUGAAAGAAUAAUAUUUGUAUAAUUAGUUUGCGUUACAAGUGAACCCCAUAAAGUAUUUACAAUGUGCCUUUGUGAAGUCUAUUUUGGAAUACGGAGCUGGUGGAUGCGAUGCAUUUAUAUCGUGUGGUUAAAACCAAAUUUAACGUGUGUUAAAUGUUGACCGC